UACGGAGGAUGCGAGCGUUAUCCGGAUUUAUUGGGUUUAAAGGGUGCGUAGGUGGUAGAUUAAGUCAGCGGUGAAAGUUUGUCGCUCAACGAUAAAAUUGCCGUUGAUACUGGUUUACUUGAGUGUAUUUGAAGUAGGCGGAAUGCGUGGUGUAGCGGUGAAAUGCUUAGAUAUCACGCAGAACUCCGAUUGCGAAGGCAGCUUACUAAACUACAACUGACACUGAAGCACGAAAGCGUGGGUAUCAAACAGG
Molecule: ribosomal RNA, 253 nt
Filed under: uncultured Porphyromonadaceae bacterium
Lineage: Bacteria; Pseudomonadati; Bacteroidota; Bacteroidia; Bacteroidales; Porphyromonadaceae
Description: partial 16S ribosomal RNA
Rfam family: Bacterial small subunit ribosomal RNA
Source: RNAcentral